This 491-nucleotide ribosomal RNA is filed under the name uncultured bacterium. Its description in RNAcentral is "partial 16S ribosomal RNA". It matches the Rfam family "Bacterial small subunit ribosomal RNA", at positions 29 to 507 of the family's 1533-position model. The record is from RNAcentral.
UUGCACGCUGGCGGCAUGCUUUACACCUGCAAGUCGAACGGUAACAGGCCUUCGGGUGCUGACGAGUGGCGAACGGGUGAGUAAUGCAUCGGAACGUACCCAGAGGUGGGGGAUAACGCAGCGAAAGCUGUGCUAAUACCGCAUGUGAUCUGAGGAUGAAAGCGGGGGACCGAGCAGCAAUGUUUGGCCUCGCGCCUUUGGAGCGGCCGAUGUCGGAUUAGCUAGUUGGUGGGGUAAAGGCCUACCAAGGCGACGAUCCGUAGCUGGUCUGAGAGGACGACCAGCCACACUGGGACUGAGACACGGCCCAGACUCCUACGGGAGGCAGCAGUGGGGAAUUUUGGACAAUGGGCGCAAGCAUGAUCCAGCAAUGCCGCGUGCGGGAAGAAGGCCUUCGGGUUGUAAACCGCUUUUGGCAGGAACGAAACGGUGUCCGCUAAUACCGGGCGCUAAUGACGGUACCUGCAGAAUAAGCACCGGCUAACUACGUG